UGCGGCUGGAUCUCCUUGACCAGUUUCGCCGCUUUGCAAAGAGCUGGCGUCUUGCUGAUUGACAUCGUGAAUGAAGGGAUUUGCUUGCUAGCUUACGCUGUGCGCAUCGAGAGAUGAGCGUGGCAUUAUGUAAGCCGCAGCGCUUGACCGCUCUGCGGCAGGCAAAUCGAGCACAUAUAAGUCUUUCUUAUAAAUCUGUGUCUGUCCGUCCGAUCUGCCGAGGUCGGAUACCACGGAAGUCAGCGUCAAGCUGACGACCAACAAAGGAUGGACAUUGAUAAUGAGAGCAUCAAGCGACUUAAGAGCAUUUGGUGGAUGCCUUGGCACUGAGAGGUGAUGAAGGACGUGGUACGCUGCGAAAAGUUACGGGGAGCUGCGAACAAGCUUUGAUCCGUAAAUAUCCGAAUGGGGAAACCCGG
This 419-nucleotide unclassified non-coding RNA is filed under the name uncultured bacterium. RNAcentral's name for it is "partial 16S-23S ribosomal RNA intergenic spacer". The stretch from base 288 to 419 matches the Rfam family "Bacterial large subunit ribosomal RNA", at positions 1 to 131 of the family's 2925-position model. The record is from RNAcentral.